AUGAACGCUGGCGGCAUGGAUUAGGCAUGCAAGUCGAACGGUGAAGUGGAGCUUGCUCCGCGGAUCAGUGGCGAAAGGGUGAGCAAUACGUGAGCAACCUGCCCCCGAGUUCGGGAUAGGCCCGGGAAACUGGGAUUAAUACCGGAUGUGGUUGCCCGCUGCAUGGCGGGCGGACUAAAGGCGAAAGCCGCUCAGGGAUGGGCUCAUGUCCGAUUAGCUUGUUGGUAGGGUAACGGCCUACCAAGGCUUUGACCGGUAGCUGGUCUGAGAGGAUGGUCAGCCACACUGGGACUGAGACACUGCCCAGACUCCUACGGGAGGCUGCAGUCGAGAAUCUUCGGCAAUGGGCGAAAGCCUGACCGAGCGAUGCCGCGUGAGGGAUGAAGGCCUUCGGGUCGUAAACCUCUGUCACCCGGGACGAAGAAUGUGACGGUACCGGGAGAGGAAGCACCGGCUAACUACGU
Molecule: ribosomal RNA, 464 nt
Filed under: uncultured bacterium
Lineage: Bacteria
Description: bacterial SSU rRNA
Rfam family: Bacterial small subunit ribosomal RNA
Source: RNAcentral